UACGUAGGGUGCAAGCGUUAAUCGGAAUUACUGGGCGUAAAGCGUGCGCAGGCGGUUGUGCAAGACAGAUGUGAAAUCCCCGGGCUCAACCUGGGAACUGCAUUUGUGACUGCACGGCUGGAGUGCGGCAGAGGGGGGAUGGAAUUCCACGUGUAGCAGUGAAAUGCGUAGAUAUGCGGAGGAACACCGAUGGCGAAGGCAAUCCCCCUGGGCCUGCACUGACGCUCAUGCACGAAAGCGUGGGGAGCAAACAGG
This 255-nucleotide ribosomal RNA is filed under the name uncultured bacterium. RNAcentral's name for it is "partial 16S ribosomal RNA". It matches the Rfam family "Bacterial small subunit ribosomal RNA", at positions 524 to 776 of the family's 1533-position model. The record is from RNAcentral.